UAUAACAGCGGAGAGUUUGAUCCUGGCUCAGGAUGAACGCUAGCGGCAGGCUUAACACAUGCAAGUCGAGGGGCAUCGGGAGGG
RNAcentral lists this ribosomal RNA (84 nucleotides) under Muribaculaceae bacterium Isolate-113 (HZI). RNAcentral describes it as "partial 16S ribosomal RNA". It matches the Rfam family "Bacterial small subunit ribosomal RNA", at positions 1 to 80 of the family's 1533-position model. Lineage: Bacteria; Pseudomonadati; Bacteroidota; Bacteroidia; Bacteroidales; Muribaculaceae. The record is from RNAcentral. RNAcentral also lists the same sequence under 1 other name.